RNAcentral lists this ribosomal RNA (38 nucleotides) under Forsstroemia indica. RNAcentral describes it as "26S ribosomal RNA". Lineage: Eukaryota; Viridiplantae; Streptophyta; Bryopsida; Hypnales; Leptodontaceae. The record is from RNAcentral.
CGAGCGCGCCCCCGCGGCGCGCGUCACGCAUCAGACCU